GAUGAAGAACGUAGCGAAAUGCGAUAAGUAGUGUGAAUUGCAGAAUUCAGUGAAUCAUCGAAUCUUUGAACGCACAUUGCGCCCGCCAGUAUUCUGGCGGGCAUGCCUGUUCGAGCGUCAUUUCAACCCUCAGGGCCCUUUUGGACCUGGCGUUGGGGCUCGGCCGCUACCCUGCGGCCGUCCCCGAAAGAUAGUGGCGGUCUCGCUGUAGCCUCCUCUGCGUAGUAGUUACAUCUCGCACUGGAACGCGGCGCGGCCAUGCCGUUAAACACCCCACUUCUCAAGGUUGACCUCGGAUCAGGUAGGAAUACCCGCUGAACUUAAGCAUAUCAAUAAGCGGAGGA
This 344-nucleotide unclassified non-coding RNA is filed under the name soil metagenome. RNAcentral's name for it is "partial contains 5.8S ribosomal RNA, internal transcribed spacer 2, and large subunit ribosomal RNA". The stretch from base 1 to 120 matches the Rfam family "5.8S ribosomal RNA", at positions 35 to 154 of the family's 154-position model. The record is from RNAcentral.